This 85-nucleotide transfer RNA is filed under the name Catenibacterium mitsuokai. RNAcentral describes it as "tRNA-Tyr". It matches the Rfam family "tRNA". Rfam says of the family: Transfer RNA (tRNA) molecules are approximately 80 nucleotides in length. Their secondary structure includes four short double-helical elements and three loops (D, anti-codon, and T loops). The record is from RNAcentral. Lineage: Bacteria; Bacillati; Bacillota; Erysipelotrichia; Erysipelotrichales; Coprobacillaceae. RNAcentral also lists the same sequence under 7 other names.
GGGGAGGUAGCGAAGUGGCUAAACGCGGCUGACUGUAACUCAGUUCUCUACGAGUUCGAUGGUUCGAAUCCGUCUCUCCCCACCA